RNAcentral lists this ribosomal RNA (253 nucleotides) under uncultured bacterium. Its description in RNAcentral is "partial 16S ribosomal RNA". It matches the Rfam family "Bacterial small subunit ribosomal RNA", at positions 524 to 776 of the family's 1533-position model. The record is from RNAcentral.
UACGAGGGGGGCAAGCGUUGUUCGGAAUUAUUGGGCGUAAAGGGCGCGUAGGCGGUUUGACAAGUCUGAUGUGAAAUCUAUGGGCUCAACCCAUAGCCUGCAUUAGAAACUGUCGGGCUUGAGUAUGGGAGAGGUGAGUGGAAUUUCCGGUGUAGCGGUGAAAUGCGUAGAUAUCGGAAGGAACACCGGUGGCGAAAGCGGCUCACUGGACCAUAACUGACGCUGAGGCGCGAAAGCUAGGGGAGCAAACAGG